Molecule: ribosomal RNA, 1017 nt
Filed under: uncultured bacterium
Lineage: Bacteria
Description: bacterial SSU rRNA
Rfam family: Bacterial small subunit ribosomal RNA
Source: RNAcentral
AGGAAUAUUGGUCAAUGGACGUAAGUCUGAACCAGCCAAGUCGCGUGAGGGAAGACUGCCCUAUGGGUUGUAAACCUCUUUUAUAAGGGAAGAAUAAGUUCUACGUGUAGAAUGAUGCCUGUACCUUAUGAAUAAGCAUCGGCUAACUCCGUGCCAGCAGCCGCGGUAAUACGGAGGAUGCGAGCGUUAUCCGGAUUUAUUGGGUUUAAAGGGUGCGUAGGCGGUUUAUUAAGUUAGUGGUUAAAUAUUUGAGCUAAACUCAAUUGUGCCAUUAAUACUGGUAAACUGGAGUACAGACGAGGUAGGCGGAAUAAGUUAAGUAGCGGUGAAAUGCAUAGAUAUAACUUAGAACUCCGAUAGCGAAGGCAGCUUACCAGACUGUAACUGACGCUGAUGCACGAGAGCGUGGGUAGCGAACAGGAUUAGAUACCCUGGUAGUCCACGCCGUAAACGAUGCUCACUGGUUCUGUGCGAUAUAUUGUACGGGAUUAAGCGAAAGUAUUAAGUGAGCCACCUGGGGAGUACGUCGGCAACGAUGAAACUCAAAGGAAUUGACGGGGGCCCGCACAAGCGGAGGAACAUGUGGUUUAAUUCGAUGAUACGCGAGGAACCUUACCUGGGUUUAAAUGGGAAAUGUCGUAUUUGGAAACAGAUAUUCUCUUCGGAGCGUUUUUCAAGGUGCUGCAUGGUUGUCGUCAGCUCGUGCCGUGAGGUGUCGGGUUAAGUCCCAUAACGAGCGCAACCCUUACCGUUAGUUGCUAGCAUGUAAUGAUGAGCACUCUAACGGGACUGCCACCGUAAGGUGAGAGGAAGGCGGGGAUGACGUCAAAUCAGCACGGCCCUUACACCCAGGGCUACACACGUGUUACAAUGGCCGGUACAGAGGGCCGCUACCAGGUGACUGGAUGCCAAUCUCAAAAGCCGGUCGUAGUUCGGAUUGGAGUCUGUAACCCGACUCCAUGAAGUUGGAUUCGCUAGUAAUCGCGCAUCAGCCAUGGCGCGGUGAAUACGUUCCCG